GUCCUAGCCAUAAACGAUGUAGACCAGAUGUGGGGUAUCGACCCCUCCGCGUCGACGCUAACGCAUUAAGUCUACCGCCUGGGAGUACGGCCGCAAGGUUGAAACUCAAAGGAAUUGACGGGACCCGCACAAGCGGUGGAGUAUGUGGUUUAAUUCGACGCAACGCGAAAACCUUACUUAGGCUCGAACGACUGGAAGUAAGAUCUAUGAAAAGUGGAGAUGACCUGUAAAAGUCAGGAACCAGCCGAGGUGCUGCAUGGUUGUCGU
This 267-nucleotide ribosomal RNA is filed under the name uncultured bacterium. RNAcentral's name for it is "partial 16S ribosomal RNA". It matches the Rfam family "Bacterial small subunit ribosomal RNA", at positions 793 to 1055 of the family's 1533-position model. The record is from RNAcentral.